CAGGGUUUCUACUUUGUACUUUAUAUUUUUAUCCACGCGCCGAAAAUACAAAGGAUAUUACACGCUCCACGAGGAGCUUUCAGAGGAAGUAGGAAGAAGGAAGCAGGAAGCAGGAAGCAGGAAGCUAGCCAGCAGUAUAAAUUGUAUAGCAGUUACAAUGAAGACGCGUUAAGAAGGGAAUCAAAUCCCACUGUUGCAGAUAAGCAAUUGAGCGCCAAAGGAAGUUCAUUUUGUUUUUCCGCUGCUCCUCCUCAUUUACUCACUCGAAACCUCGCAGGAUAAUCCAUAGCGCCUCCAAUCUCUCUCCUUAACUUCUCUGUUUCAAAAUAUAUUUAAAUGGAAGCAUCUAUUUUGAACACAAAAUAUGAAGAUAAUGAUGGAAAGGCGUUGAAAGCUUUGUUUGAGGCAUUUGGCUCCUUGUUUUCUCUUCAAGAUAUAGCUUCUGCUUAUUACAAGGCAGACCAGAAUGCAGAUUUGGCUUGUGAAAUCCUUUAUGACAUGCAGGAAAGCACCUCUACCUCUUCUGUUGUUGCAACCAAUGGAGGGGGAAGAAGUGUAGAAUCUUCCAAAUCAUCUUAUGAUAUAAUUUCUACGAGAUCGUGUUAUGCAAAUGGAAAGUUCAGAGCUUCAAAGCAAAAAUGGCGUCCAGUUUCAGGAGGCACUAUUUCAAGCAUUCUUGGCAAAGAAUAUACUAAGUCCAUGCCAGUAGCCAGCAGUUCCUGUAUGGGAACCAAACCAAUGAAAUUGGAUGCAAAGGAAUUGCCAGCGUCUGAACUAUGGGGAGAGGAAACUAAACUGAACCCAUCAAAGAAUUAUCAUAUGUAUAAGGAUAUGGAAAAUUUUCUUUUCAGAAUGCUAGGAGAUGGUUUUCAGCUGGAAAGAGAUGAGAUUCGACAAGUUCUUGAUAAAUGUGGAUAUGACAUUGAAAAGAGUAUGGAGAAACUGUUAGAUUUGUCUGCAGUGAAUUUGGAAGAAGAGAACAAAUGCCUUGGUAAAUCCACUGGAAAGAUGGUAGAUGUGCAUUCAAAUUCUGAAGAACAUUCAUAUCAAUGCAAAUCACCACAAAUGAAUUCCCUCGGGGGUGAUGCAAAUGGAAUUUCAAACAUAAAUGAUGGAGGACAACCUGAACAAGACGAGAGAAACGAUCUUCAGAAGGAAGUAUUAGUUGCAUUGUUUAAUUCUGCUGAUAGAUCUGAAGAAUUAUCUAGAAGAGCAGCAAAGGGAGCAAGGAGAUCUAAAGUAUUUGGAGAACUAGUGGUUGAACCUCCAAGAGACUUUACCUUAGAACACAAGACUGAUUCUGUUGGUUCAAAGCAAGAUAACGGCAAUGGUAUGUACUUUCUUGCAUGUUUUGUGAAUCAUCAUUGACCAAGUAUUUUAUAUGGAACUUUGAUGCAGGCAUGCAGCCAGCAAGAAACUUUAGAGAAAGCAAGUUUAAAGAAAUUUAGAAUCAUAUAAAUAAGCUGUUGGACUAUUAUUCUGUGACUUUUAUGAGUCACAAUUUUUAACCUUGUUGGAGGGGUGUAGGAUGUACUUCUUGGUUAUUACUUUUACUUUUUUACUUUAAUGGUUUUAUUUAUUGUUGAAGAGUUCAGUAUUUAAUUUUCUUAGUUUUGCAUUUGAAGUCAAAAUUACAUAAAUAUUAGGAGUUUGUUGAGUGUAUAUUUAUAUAUAUUCUUGUAGUAUUUUAUUUUCAGAGUUUUAGCUAGUAAAAAGGAAAAUGAAUUUACAACAAUUGCUAUUUUGGAUUGUGUAAUGUAAUUCAACCCCAGAUGUUAUGCUUAAGGAAAUAUAUUUAAAACUUAGAAUAUCAUCACCUUUUUUUUGUCCAAUUUUGCAAGCUGACUUUUAUAUAAUUUUAGGUCUGAAAUCUCUAUUAUGAAACCCUAAUUAAGUUACAUCAAUUUAUUCACAACUUACUGAUCACAAUGCUAAACCUCAAUUGCAGAAAGCUCAUAAAAUCUGUUCUUUUAUCUGUUAUUUUACUUCCUAAUUGUAUUCAUUUGCAAACCCUCGUAUUCCAAGUUCAUUCGUACUCUUCUGAGCUUUCAAGCCUACCCAAAACCAGUCCUAAAUAUUCUAGUUUGCUGGAUGUCUUAUAUCAACCCUGCAGAAGGUAUGAACACUUCAGAAAUAUGGGGCUUGAUGUCCUUUUAACAGAAUCUCGUUGGUUUUCAUCCUGAGUCAAUUGUCAAUUGCAGAUGAAGAUGAAGAGGGUAGUUACCAGCAGCUUCGUAGGGCUGUGAAGGAGUAUCGGGUCACAAUGAAGGAAUAUUAUAAAGCUGCUGUCAACGCAUUUGCUAAGGGAGACUAUGAUUGCUCUAACAAACUUAUGGAUGAGGGACAUUUUUUUCAUGGAAAGGCUCGCGAGGCAGAUGAAGAAUCUAGUCAGAAGAUUUUUGAAACCAAAAAUGUAGAUACAAAAGACGAAUUGACACUUGACCUGCAUGACCAUGGUGCCAAGGAGGCAAUGCGUCUUUUGAAGUGUCAUCUUUCUUCACUUUCAGGCAUCUCAUCAAUUAAGUACCUGAAGGUCAUCAUUGAGACAGAUGAGGAAGAUACCUCAAAAGGGGCUCGUAGGAGAUUGGUAAGUUUUCCUAAUUUAUUGAACCUUGCCUUUUCUGUCUUGAAUUCAAUGGGACUGAUGGUGUGAAUACUAUUUUCGGUUCUUUUACAAGGAUUUAAAAUUUUCAGUUUGAUAGAAUGAAACUGAUAAUUGUAAUUUUCUUUUUGAGAAGGGAUAUUUGUAAUUUUUAUAUUACCUCUAUUAUAGAAUUGAAAUUCAUGAUUCUCCACAAAGAUAAAACAUAAAUGAAGGAAUGCCAUGAAUCAUUAUUGAUUUGUAAACUGAAAUCAUUUUAGUGUUGUCAAGAGCUAUAUGUUUGCCACACUCUUCUCUAACUUCUUGUAUGUUGAUUUGUUUUGAUACUUAUUGUAAGAUUUAUUCAAUAAGCAUAUUCUAAUCUGUAAGCUUUAGUGCUAGAGUUUCAAGGUUUCUUUUGAUUUCCAACCUACUACUUCUGAUGAAAAUUAUAGGGUUACAUUGACUUCAAGUUAUUAUUUUGCAUAGGUUAUGAAGCUGUUGGAGAAGGAAUCAAUCAAGUGGGCAGAAGGAGAAAAUGCUGGGACACUAUUAAUUCGUUUAGAUAACAUCAACCGAAAAUCAUUGAGUUUUGCUAAAAGAUAGUAUGCAGCUUGGGUAGUAUGCAGCUUGGGAUAUUCGUGAUUGCUCAUAAAUUUUUCAUUUUCAACAAAUUGCAAGUCACUAUCGUGAUGAGAAAUGGGAAAAGAUUUCCCCAGUGAGAUACAUUUUGAAAGUCAGGAGUUUUCUGUUUAUUUUAUAAGCUGCGACUCGGAAAUUAUUGUCAGACCUUGUAAACUCGAGCAUCAUUCGUGUUGUCUCAAACUCCAGAAUAGCACUAGAUGAGGUCUAGGCAUUGUUUUGGUUUUAAUUUUUUGCAUUUUGAGUAUGAAAAAUGCCUUUUCAUUUAGUUUUUAAUUUAUCAUCACACGAGUAAUAAUUUUAAAAAAUAGUUACUGAGGAUAGGUUUUUUUAUUUUUAAAAUCUAUAUUUAAUGC
This 3579-nucleotide unclassified non-coding RNA is filed under the name Hevea brasiliensis (rubber tree). Lineage: Eukaryota; Viridiplantae; Streptophyta; Magnoliopsida; Malpighiales; Euphorbiaceae. The record is from RNAcentral.